Molecule: small RNA, 75 nt
Filed under: Xanthomonas campestris
Lineage: Bacteria; Pseudomonadati; Pseudomonadota; Gammaproteobacteria; Lysobacterales; Lysobacteraceae
Also listed under: 1 other name
Description: sX9 sRNA
Rfam family: Xanthomonas sRNA sX9
Source: RNAcentral
AUGUACCCACGUACACUCCGGUUCCUCCGCGCCGUCAGCACCCACCUGACGGCUGCUCGCUACGUUUUGUUAGCC